AACGCACAUUGCGCCUGCCAGUAUUCUGGCAGGCAUGCCUGUCCGAGCGUCAUUUCAACCCCCAGGCCCUCGUUGCCUGUUGUUGGGGCGUUCAGGGCGGUCCUACGACCCCCUGAGCCCUGAAAAGCAGUGGCGGGCUCGCCAGGUCACCGAGCGUAGUAAUUUUCUCUCGCUUAGGGGCCCUGGCGGGUGCCAGCCGUGAAAACGCAGAAGCUCUGCUUCUACAUAACAGUGGUUUGACCUCGGAUCAGGUAGGAAUACCCGCUGAACUUAA
Molecule: unclassified non-coding RNA, 274 nt
Filed under: uncultured Sordariomycetes
Lineage: Eukaryota; Fungi; Ascomycota; Sordariomycetes
Description: sequence contains 5.8S rRNA gene, ITS2, 28S rRNA gene
Source: RNAcentral